AUUGAACGCUAGCGGCAUGCCUUACACAUGCAAGUCGAACGAGUGGCGGACGGGUGAGUAAUAUAUCGGAACGUGCCCAGUAGCGGGGGAUAACUACUCGAAGGAGUGGCUAAUACAGCAUACUAUUGGAGCGGCCGAUAUCGGAUUAGCUAGUUGGUGGGGUAAAGGCUCACCAAGGCAACGAUCCGUAGCUGGUGUGAGAGGACGACCAGCCACACUGGGACUGAGACACGGACCAGACUCCUACGGGAGGCAGCAGUGGGGAAUAUUGGACAAUGGGGGAAACCCUGAUCCAGCCAUCCCGCGUGUAUGAGAAGGCCUUCGGGUUGUAAAGUACUUUCGGCAGAGAAGCGGUAUCUGCAGAAGAAGCACCGGCUAACUUCGUGCCAGCAGCCGCGGUAAUAC
This 405-nucleotide ribosomal RNA is filed under the name uncultured bacterium. Its description in RNAcentral is "partial 16S ribosomal RNA". It matches the Rfam family "Bacterial small subunit ribosomal RNA", at positions 30 to 526 of the family's 1533-position model. The record is from RNAcentral.